Molecule: long non-coding RNA, 571 nt
Filed under: Olea europaea (common olive)
Lineage: Eukaryota; Viridiplantae; Streptophyta; Magnoliopsida; Lamiales; Oleaceae
Description: long non-coding RNA (OEUR_LNC013184)
Source: RNAcentral
GGGGGGGGGGGGGGUCUGAGACUUAAAACCCCAAUACACACCUUAUAAACCUAUUCUAUAACCUAAAUACCUAUAUAAAGUUGACAAACGAAAAAAAUUGAUCUUUAUAACAAAAUCCCUUAAGUUGAUAAAAAUUAACAGCUAAAAUCAUUAGAUCUAGAAUCCAAUUAACUAAUUGACAUUGAAUAACUCAAGAAUCGCAAUCAUCCCACACCCAAUUCAUAACAAACAUGAAUCCACAGGCAGAUCUGCAGCACAUAAAAGUCCUUUACCAUAAAAUAAUUACCUGUGAGCAAAUCCUGGUGGACCAACAUGAUUGAAGAGUUUUAGCACUAGGGUCGGGUCGCUCCGAAAACGGUGAAGAAUGGGUUCAAGAGACCGAGGGUUCACAAUGGGACGACAGAGAGGGAAAGAAGGAACGUGCAGCGGCGAACAUAAAUAGGCCGAGGGUUUGACAGGAGAAGUGGGUCGACAGUCGACUUGAUUAAAUUACCGUAGUAGUCAGAACUUUUCCCAAAUUGGCAUUUGUGUCCUCUCCAAUACUGUUGCCGGGCUUUUACUGUUGGGCCUU